GACGCAGCGACGCCGCGUGCGGGAAGAAGGCCUUCGGGUGUAAACCGCUUCAGGAGGGACGAAGCCACUCGGGUUAAUAGCCUAGAGGGUGACGGUACCUCCAGAAGAAGCCCCGGCUAACUACGUGCCAGCAGCCGCGGUAAGUACGGGGGGGCAAGCGUUGUCGGAAUUACUGGGCGUAAAGGGCUCGUAGGCUGCCAACUAAGUCAGACGUGAAAUCCCCAGGCUCAACCUGGGAACUGCGUCUGAUACUGGAUGGCUUGAAUUCGGGAGAGGGAUGCAGAAUUCCAGGUGUAGCGGUGAAAUGCGUAGAUAUCUGGAGGAAUACCGGUGGCGAAGGCGGCAUCCUGGACCGACAUUGACGCUGAGGAGCGAAAGCUAGGGGAGCAAACGGGAUUAGAUACCCCGGUAGUCCUAGCCCUAAACGAUGAAUGCUUGGUGUAACGGGUAUCGAUCCCUGUUGUGCCGAAGCUAACGCAUUAAGCAUUCCGCCUGGGGAGUACGGUCGCAAGGCUG
This 516-nucleotide ribosomal RNA is filed under the name uncultured Acidobacteriota bacterium. RNAcentral describes it as "bacterial SSU rRNA". It matches the Rfam family "Bacterial small subunit ribosomal RNA", at positions 385 to 896 of the family's 1533-position model. Lineage: Bacteria; Pseudomonadati; Acidobacteriota. The record is from RNAcentral.